UGUCGAGUAGACCUUGUUG
Molecule: small nuclear RNA, 19 nt
Filed under: Arabidopsis thaliana (thale cress)
Lineage: Eukaryota; Viridiplantae; Streptophyta; Magnoliopsida; Brassicales; Brassicaceae
Description: snRNA_04331
Source: RNAcentral